GAUUUCCUCCCGGCCCCCGCCCUCCCACAGCCCUUUGCAGGACGUGCAACAGGGUUGUGGCUCGUGUGUUCGGUCUCUGCCUGCUGAAACCCCUUAUGGGAGGUGGAGCAUGCAGACGGACGGGUGCAGGAGCCAGGGUGCAAAAGCUGGGGCGCUGGGCUUCCAGCCCCACGGCAGUGUCCAGGGGCAGGAUCCCGUGAUUCCCGGAGCCCAAAUGGGCGUGUGUUACAGUGUGCUCUUUUAGCCUUACCAUCAGCUGACGGCUUAAGUGUUAACCAGCUCAAUAGACCCUCUGCCUUUUUGCAAGCGCAGAGGGUCAGUGUGACAGUUUCUGUAUCUCAGCUCUUGUCUCACCUCCCAGAAGAAUCAGGUCACACAUGGACUUGAAGGAUGACGGGCCUGUCUAAUUGCAGGAAAACAAACUCAGGGCUCCCACUGAUUCUACAUUACGAUAAAUACCUGGAGUGGGAUUGCUAGAUCACAUGGAAAACACAGAUCCUGGUGCCGAACAUGAGGACAGGGCAGGCCGAAGGAGAAAGUGGAAGGAGGGGAGCUUCUCUCUCAGCCUCAUCCUUCUGGGCCUGGAUGCUGGAGAGUCAUGAGGUGCUUCAGAGUACUCUGGGUGAGGAGGGAAAGAUGGUGCCCACCACAUGGAGGCCAGCCUAGGUCUUGUAUGAAACCUGUGAGCUAGCUGAAAGCAGAGAACCCAGCAGAGGAUUCUGGGAAGGUCCUGGGGGAUGGCAGAGCCAGCAGAGAGAGGGUAUGGAUCCACCAGGCAUAGGAUGGAACAGAGCACUAUUGACCACAGUGAACUGGGGCAUGGGCAAUCAAUAAACACAUAUUAGAUUAAGCUAUUGAGACUCAGGGAUUUUUAUACAACUGACAUUCCCUAAGAAGCCAUGAUCUUCCUGUCUCAGGAGGUGCAUAAGCAGUGGUUGAAUGUUCAACAGUCAAGAAUGUUAUAAAAAGAGGUUCUUGGGAGAGUGGACCUGAUGGCCAGCAAAAAUCAUAGCUCACAUUUAUUGAGUUAUUAUGGCUCAGGCAUGUGCACAUAUUCUUUUAUUUAAAUCUACAAUAUGCUUUAUCAUGCUCAUUUUAUACAUGAGGAACACAAGGCAUGGAGAGGUUAGAUAACAUGCCUAAGAUCAUGAAGCAAGCAAGGGGGAGAAAAGAUACCCUUCUCACUCCUUCCAGACAGCUCACUUCACCACCACUCCCCACUGUCUCUAAAGCAAAAGUUAUUUGAAGGCUUAGGGACUGGUUUGGUAUUAUCCAUGCAGGGCGGUUUGUUUUGUUUUUCUUUUAAAAUUUCAGCCUAUGCUUAAAAGAUUUCAUGUAAAAAUUCUGUUUUCUAGUUUCUCUUGAAAAUUAAGAAGAUCUGGUAAAACUGGGCUUGAAGACCAUUAUGGUAACAGGCUGCUGAAGCUGAGGAGAGGGCCCCUUCAGAUGGGCAUAAGCACUGCUCCCCCUCCCCAACCCCCCUUUUAGGUUACUAUCAGACUCUGGAAGCUUCUGAAUGUGUGAACCCUGAAAGAGUCCAUCUAAAGCUAAGUUCUCCCCAGGGGUAGAGCCCAAUGCUGGGCAUACAGUAGGG
This 1594-nucleotide long non-coding RNA is filed under the name Homo sapiens (human). RNAcentral's name for it is "HSALNT0089993". Lineage: Eukaryota; Metazoa; Chordata; Mammalia; Primates; Hominidae. The record is from RNAcentral.